GACUAACGCUGGCGGCGUGCCUAAUACAUGCAAGUCGAACGCAGUGGGGACGGGUGAGUAACACGUGGGUAACCUCCCAUCAGAGGGGAUAACACUUGGAAACAGGUGCUAAACCGAUAUUGAUUGAUGGACCCGCGGUGCAUUAGCUAGUUGGUAAGGUAACGGCGCACCAAGGCCACGAUGCAUACCGCACCUGAGAGGGUGAUCGGCAACACUGGGACUGAGACACGGCCCAGACUCCUACUGUAGGCAGCAGUAGGGAAUCUUCGGCAAUGGACGAAAGUCUGACCGAGCAACGCCGCGUGAGUGAAGACGGUGUUCGGAUCGUAAAACUCUGUUGUUAGAGAAGCGGUAUCUAACCAGAAAGCCACGGCUAACUACGUGCCAGCAGCCGCGGUAAUAC
RNAcentral lists this ribosomal RNA (403 nucleotides) under uncultured bacterium. Its description in RNAcentral is "partial 16S ribosomal RNA". It matches the Rfam family "Bacterial small subunit ribosomal RNA", at positions 28 to 526 of the family's 1533-position model. The record is from RNAcentral.